AAGGCUAUACUUUCAGGAAUCAUUUCUAUAGUGAUCGCCUGGAGAAGCACGUUCAAACAUGAUCGGUCCCUGCC
Small nucleolar RNA from Hemicordylus capensis (graceful crag lizard), 74 nucleotides. RefSeq annotates it as small nucleolar RNA U3. NCBI's taxonomy places the organism in Eukaryota, Metazoa, Chordata, Lepidosauria, Squamata, Cordylidae. The transcript has a single exon. The record is from RefSeq and is a predicted model, not a curated record.